Non-coding RNA from Cricetulus griseus (Chinese hamster), 1271 nucleotides. The record is from RefSeq and is a predicted model, not a curated record. Lineage: Eukaryota; Metazoa; Chordata; Mammalia; Rodentia; Cricetidae.
CAUGUGCAGUUGGUUCUAGCUUUUUGAAAAGAUUUAUUUAUUCUGUAUGUAUUAGUGUUUUCCCUGCAUUCAUGUCUGUCCAUUGUGUGCAUGCAGCACCAAUGGAGGCCAUCAGGGGUGUCAGAUCUCCUAGAACUGGAGCUACAGGUGAUUGUGAGCUACUGUGCUGCUGAGGAUCCAACCUGGGUCCUUAGCAAGAGCACUAAUUAUUCUUAGUCACUGAAUCAUCUCUCCAGCUCUGGGUUCUAGUUUUUGGACACAUAGUACGAGUCACUGGCUGACCACCUUAUUAGACCAUUCCAUAACCCUAUAUCCCACCUUCAACCAUAUUGAAUAUUCCUUUCAACUGCACCCCCCUGCUGUCCUAUUCUGUAAGUCUUCCUCCCCUAAGUAGCAAAUUGUUUCUCUUCUGUGCACCCUGACCUUUCAACUCCUCUCUGUGCCCUGGCUUGAUUCUUGCACAGAAUUAAUUUCACCAUCAAUAUUUUGUUUAGGCUGCUCUUGUAAUACUCACCUCAGUAUAAUUUGGUCUGAGUUAGCAAAAAUUAGUCAUUUGUAUACAUUAUUAUUCUCACUGAGUGUCUUUAGUGUUCAAGGUUUGAAGUAUGCUGAAUUAGCCUCAGAUUGGAGCUGGUUAACAACGAGACUAUCAAAGAAAGGCAAAAUCCUGUCUUCUGAAAGCAAGAUGUGCCAAGAAAGCUUGGGAGCAGACAUGUCAGCUGCCAAUCCCCAUCCAAAGGUACGAAUUGGCUCUGGAAAUGCUCGAGGGAGAAGUGGCAGAGUCCCUUUACAUAAACUUGUGGACGCCAAAAGUCUGAGCCCGGUGUUUUAUGUUGUGGAAGUUAAGAAGACAUCAAUUUAGCUGGAAAGGGCCAUCUAUCCAGGUUCCUCGAAGCUGGCACACUCCACCUCUGCUACAUCUACUCAAAGCUGGCUGGCUGGCUACUGUGAACACUGAAUUAGAUAGCUUGAGUAACUCCACACUUACCCUCCUUAGUCAAGGCAGGAAGGAGCAGGGGUGUAGGUCAGAAGAUCUGGGCUCUGCUGUUUGACCUGAGACAAACUGAGGAACCAGCUCGAUCUUCACUCUCCGCCAAACUUUUAAAUGAGGCUGGCAUUUUCUUCUGGGGAUGACUAAAGAAGUUUUAAAAAUGAAAGAACACCUGAAAUCACCUGGUACACAAUAGUCAGGUGAAUGUUAAGAAGCCUUGAAUUGUUAAGAAGCCCAGCAUUGCAAAAAUUAAAAUAAACAAUGCAUUAUAUGAAUACUA